RNAcentral lists this long non-coding RNA (1184 nucleotides) under Fukomys damarensis (Damara mole-rat). Its description in RNAcentral is "lncRNA (ENSFDAG00000031413.1)". The record is from RNAcentral. Lineage: Eukaryota; Metazoa; Chordata; Mammalia; Rodentia; Bathyergidae.
UGGAGAUGUUAAUGACAGGCUUCAGUUCAUGCCACAGGUGUUUGUGUUCAAGUAUCAGAAUAUGUGAUUGAAACUUGUUCCAUAAACACUCCCAUAGCAAGACAGCCAAGCUAAGGGCUGUUUGCAGUAUGGAUUUGGUUCUGUCAAACAGCUAUGUUGAGAAGAAUUAUUUCUUUUGGUUUCUUUGUGUAGGGAUCUAGACUUUGGUCUUCCACCUGAAGCCAAUCUCUUGGCUGUGGGAUGUUUGCCAUUACCAUUUGAGCUUCCUGCUUCCCACUUUACUUAAGGGAAUCUGAGAAAGAACAUUGCCUUGAAGAGUUCUUUCAGAGUCACAGCACAGCUUCCCAGAACCCCCUACUAGCAGGAACCUUCCCUUGAAGUUCCCCAUCUACAUGAAACCCACUGCAUUGCCGGCCUUUCGGAGCUGGCAGGCUGUCCUGGAGCUGCGGGUGGAGCCGGUCUUGAUGGCCACAGGCUGAGUGGAGUGAGAAGAAGAAAUGAAGUGGCCGAGCACCGCCAGAGCCGGAGGAAGGAGUAAGAAGUCCCGGAACUUCUUUCCUCCCGGGGCGCUGCCUCGACAGCAACACAUUGCAGUUUCUUUUGUGGGAAAUCCGGAGUCCAGCCUGGGUCCUGGAGGCACCUGUGGUCUUCCUUGAGGUUCACUACAAUGGGACAGACUGCAUGGAGGCCUGAAUUUAAUCGAUUCACCUGGAGGGUCGUGAUCAAGGCACCAAGAGGUGAUGUAGAAGAACAUUCGCAUGUCACAAUUCACAGCAGCCUUGAACCGAAGAGGGCAGAUUCCCCACCUGAAGCUCCGUGGGAAAGCACACGGCAGGCUGUGCAUAAAACGCCCCUCUGCAUCGUCACCAAAUGGAAUGAGUGGGUGACUCUCAGCACUAGUGCAGAAGGAAAGGCACUGAUGAUGACAGCAUGUGUGACAAUGGCACAGCACCCGUGGGAGUCAGAAACAGGUACCUGGGAGGAUUACCUUGGAAACAAAGGUAUGAAGCUUCACAGUGGGAAAGAAAGGGGCCGUAGCAGAUGAGUAGCAAUGGUCUUUCUGGUUACUGACAGGGUUGUGUUCCUUAACCUGCUGGGGUAUUUAAACAGGAGUUUAGCUGUGAUCUAUAAAAGAGCUGUUUGUGCCCUUUCUGUAUAUGCAUGUUUCAUUCAACAGUAAGUGG